This 71-nucleotide transfer RNA is filed under the name Candidatus Spechtbacteria bacterium SB0662_bin_43. RNAcentral's name for it is "tRNA-Pro". It matches the Rfam family "tRNA". From Rfam's summary of the family: Transfer RNA (tRNA) molecules are approximately 80 nucleotides in length. Their secondary structure includes four short double-helical elements and three loops (D, anti-codon, and T loops). Lineage: Bacteria; Candidatus Spechtiibacteriota. The record is from RNAcentral.
CGGGCUGUAGUAUAGUGGUAGUACACAUGGUUUGGGACCAUGCGGUCUGGGUUCGAUUCCCAGCAGCCCGA